AUGAUCUACCGCUUUUCGGAGACGCCGAACUACACGCAAGGCGCGUCCUUCUCGCUCGCGCCGCCGCCGUCGGCCACUCUCUUCUCCAUCCCCGAGCGGGCGUACGACCCGGAGGAACGCAAGCGCAACCCCGACCGCAGGUACGUCAACGUGUACGCCAGCGUCAUCUUCGCCGCGAGCCAGGACUGCCAUCUCCUCCUGAAGACUACGAGGAUCCGUUUGAGCGCCCACACGGCCGCGGGGCUGAACCUGGCCCGCCCCACGGAACAGGAAGCCGAGGUGGUCAUGGAGGAGGCCGUCGAGAAGGAGUUCGUGUGCUACGUGUGCAACCCCGUUACUGGCCAGCUGGUCCGCCUUCCGGACUACUUGGGCAUGAAGGAGAUCUUGCAGACGGCCACGGGCCUGCUCACCCAAGCAGACGGCGGGCACGGGCCACCUAAGAGGUACGCCGUUGUUGAUCUAACAGAGCUCAACGGCGAGGGGCGCUUCGUGGUGUUUUGCUUCUCCUCGGACACAGGGAAGUGGGACGCAAUGGUGCGGCCAUCUCCGCUGCAGCCUGGGCGCGAGAUGCGCUUGUUCAAUCACGAGGUGCUGGCCUUUGGUGGACGUCUGUGGUGGGUGGAUGUGAGCUUGGGCGUCCUCUCCAUGGACCCGUUCAGUGACAAGUGUGAGCUCCGCCACGUCAAGCUGCCUCCCGGCAGCGCCCUUCCUCGCCAAUCGCACGCAGAGAUUUGCGACCUUAUCAAAUACAGGCGCAUGGGUGUCAGCGACGGGAAGCUGCUGUAUGUCGAGGUUUCCAUGGAGGCGCCCUACCAGAUCAGGUCAUUCGUGCUGGACGACGAGAGCGGCCGCUGGGCGUUGGAGCACCAGGUGUCACUGGAUGCCAAGGAGAGGCCUUUGGUUGGUGCGAUUGAUCCGCUGACUUGCUGUACCUCAACUUGGGCGCUGAAGUUACUGUUAGCGUGGACAUGCGCCGGAACAGGAUCAUUGCUCAGUCAUCUGUGUUGGCCAGUGGUAUCCAGCCAUGCUAUUGCGGGUCAAAUGUGUUCUUGCCAUGUGUGCUUCCGUCAUUUCUGGGAUCAAGCCAGAUUCCAGGCAAGAAGGGUGCCCCAAAACAGCAAACUUUAG
Molecule: ribosomal RNA, 1128 nt
Filed under: Triticum aestivum (bread wheat)
Lineage: Eukaryota; Viridiplantae; Streptophyta; Magnoliopsida; Poales; Poaceae
Description: partial small subunit ribosomal RNA
Source: RNAcentral